RNAcentral lists this ribosomal RNA (378 nucleotides) under uncultured bacterium. RNAcentral's name for it is "bacterial SSU rRNA". It matches the Rfam family "Bacterial small subunit ribosomal RNA", at positions 521 to 896 of the family's 1533-position model. The record is from RNAcentral.
UAAGACGUAGGGCGCGAGCGUUGUCCGGAUUUAUUGGGCGUAAAGAGCUCGUAGGCGGCUUGUUGCGUCGACUGUGAAAACCUGCGGCUCAACCGUGUGGUCUGCAGUCGAUACGGGCAGGCUGGAGUUCGGUAGGGGAGACUGGAAUUCCUGGUGUAGCGGUGAAAUGCGCAGAUAUCAGGAGGAACACCGGUGGCGAAGGCGGGUCUCUGGGCCGAUACUGACGCUGAGGAGCGAAAGCGUGGGGAGCGAACAGGAUUAGAUACCCUGGUAGUCCACGCUGUAAACGUUGGGCGCUAGGUGUGGGUGGUGUCGACUCCAUCCGUGCCGAAGCUAACGCAUUAAGCACCCCGCCUGGGGAGUACGGCCGCAAGGCUA